This is a non-coding RNA of Gasterosteus aculeatus aculeatus (three-spined stickleback), 1831 nucleotides long. NCBI's taxonomy places the organism in Eukaryota, Metazoa, Chordata, Actinopteri, Perciformes, Gasterosteidae. The record is from RefSeq and is a predicted model, not a curated record.
UCCGCGUGUCGGGGGCGGAGACCAAAGCGACGGCGGCGCCGCUGUUACGUUUGGGGAAGUUGCUCAAUAUGGGAAAUGCACAAGUUGCAGAGUCUGCGGGCGACACGUCCGUUCUGCCUUCACGGGUCCUCGGCGGAUAAGCAAGACGCGUAACGGCGCUGUGAGAUGUGCGCCAAGUCAGCUUGAGUCCGCGUCUUUCCUUUCCGCCCCAAAAUGAAUAACUCGGUCACUUCCGCUUCUUACAUCCGCAACCUUAGUUACAGUUUACGUCGCAGGUUGUCCGACUUUUUGGACCCUCAAGACAGGUGGAUGGAAGUUCUCACCUCGAUACGGAAGCCGAGUGGGGAGCCGAGGUACUCUCAGCUGCACGUUAGGAGGUUUGAGGGCCUCGCCGCUCAGGGUAAAAGCCCCACGGUGGAGCUGCUGGUGGACUGGGGCACCACUAACAGCACAGUGGGGGAACUGGUCUGCAUCCUGAAGAGUUGCAAGUUGUUGGCUGCUGCUAGUCUGCUGCUCCCUGAGCAAGGGGCCGUCUCACAGGAGACACAGGAGACACAAAGGGCGUCUCCAGCUGUGGACACAAAGAGCAGGCUCCCCACCAGACUACUGGAGGAGACGAAGACGAGGGCCCCACCUGAAGUCUCCGUUCUGCCAUCACACAUUCCUCAGGAGCUCAGCGGGCCGAGCCGCGCAGGCUUCUCCAGUUUCUUGUACAAUGAGCUGAUGGAGAUCACUGGCAACUUCGACGACCGUCCCAUAUCAGACGGCGGCAGCCGGCUGGGGGAGGGAGGUUUUGGCACCGUGUACAAAGGGCUCCUUCAUGACCGACCCGUUGCAGUGAAAAAGCUCAAUCCAAUGGACGACAUCUCCCUGGACGAGCUGCAAGUGCAGUUCAACCAAGAGAUCCAGGCGCUGAGAGUGUUGAAACAUGAAAACUUGGUUGACAUGGUUGGGUUUUCCUGCGAUGGACAGCACCCAUGCUUGGUGUACGCCCUUAUGGUCAACGGCUCUCUGCUGGACCGACUGGCUUGCCUGGAAGGAAGUCCCCCGCUGUCCUGGCGACAGAGAUCGCUGAUUGCUGAAGGGACAGCGAGAGGCCUGGAGUAUCUGCACGGCAACCAUCAUGUUCACAGGGAUGUUAAAAGCGCGAACAUCUUGUUAGAUGAAAACCUUGUGGCGAAGAUCUCCGACUUCGGGCUGACGAGAGCGUCGGCCAAGCGGACGUCGACCACCAUGAUGACGGAGAGGAUUGUGGGUACCCGUGCAUACAUGGCCCCCGAGGCGCUCCGAGGAGAGAUCACCCCAAGGUCGGACGUCUUCAGCUUCGGAGUGGUAGGCUUUCCACUGACGCGCGCACAAACGCACGCACGGACACUCAGGGGGCCGGUUUUGUGUCAGGAAAAGCAGAAACUGCAACCGGCAUGGAAAUCCGAGACCACGCGGUCUACUCAGCUGCACUGUAGUAUUUGCUGUACAUAUCGAAUAUGUUAUUCAUUUAAUGAAACCGCCUGAAGCAUUUCUGGGCUCAGCAGCGUAUGAAGGUGCCUGACCUUCCAGAUCCUGCAGUAUAUCCAGCUUGUGUGUCUUACUGGGGCAGCUGUGGAAACACUACGGUGCCUGUGGGGAGGUAACAAAGGUUUCCUGUUGUCCGGAGCCGUGACAUUGACCCAGCCUCUCCGCCGUCCACAGGUGUUGUUAGAAAUAUUGUCUGGACAGCGGCCAGCCGAUGAAGAGCGGGAGCCGCAGUUCUUGAUGGAAAUGAGGCACGAUAUAGACGAUGAAGACGAGGAGCUGACUUUUGAGGACUUCCUGGACAAAAAGAUGAGCGACU